Molecule: ribosomal RNA, 262 nt
Filed under: uncultured bacterium
Lineage: Bacteria
Description: partial 16S ribosomal RNA
Rfam family: Bacterial small subunit ribosomal RNA
Source: RNAcentral
CGACCGGCGCACGGGUGAGUAACACGUAUCCAACCUGCCGUCUACUCUUGGACAGCCUUCUGAAAGGAAGAUUAAUACAAGAUGGCAUCAUGAGUCCGCAUGUUCACAUGAUUAAAGGUAUUCCGGUAGACGAUGGGGAUGCGUUCCAUUAGAUAGUAGGCGGGGUAACGGCCCACCUAGUCUUCGAUGGAUAGGGGUUCUGAGAGGAAGGUCCCCCACAUUGGAACUGAGACACGGUCCAAACCCCUACGGAAGGCAGCAG